GGCGCAAGCCUGACCCAGCCAUGCCGCGUGCAGGAAGACGGCCUUAUGGGUUGUAAACUGCUUUUAUUAGGGAAUAAACCCCGUACGUGUACGGGGCUGAAUGUACCUAAAGAAUAAGCAUCGGCUAACUCCGUGCCAGCAGCCGCGGUAAUACGGAGGAUGCAAGCGUUAUCCGGAUUCAUUGGGUUUAAAGGGUGCGCAGGCGGAUGUGUAAGUCAGUGGUGAAAUCCUACGGCUCAACCGUAGAACUGCCAUUGAUACUGCACGUCUUGAGUCUAGUUGAAGUGGGCGGAAUGUAGCAUGUAGCGGUGAAAUGCAUAGAUAUGCUACAGAACACCUAUUGCGAAGGCAGCUCACUAAACUAUAACUGACGCUCAUGCACGAAAGCGUGGGGAGCAAACAGGAUUAGAUACCCUGGUAG
Molecule: ribosomal RNA, 421 nt
Filed under: uncultured bacterium
Lineage: Bacteria
Description: bacterial SSU rRNA
Rfam family: Bacterial small subunit ribosomal RNA
Source: RNAcentral